AUAAAGGAUUACUGUAAUCGUAAUCUUGUGUUUUUAGCUUGUUGGGAUUACUGCAAUCCUAAUCGUUUAGUAAUCGUAAUCCUUAUCGCCCAGCUCUGGUAUUUACCAUACACCAAAUUUUUAAGAAUAUAAACGAGAAAAGGGUCAACGCUCACCAUCUAUUUGUUGACAUCAAAGCCUCUUUCGGCGGCACGAAAGGAUGUUGAAUAUACGCCACGAUGUCUGAAUUACGUAUUUAUUUGCGAAACUGAUACGUCGGUGUGAACGGACGGUCAGCAAUUCCAACAGCUCCGUCUGAACUGAGAAAGACCUCUCCGAGCCGUUUGGUACCAAACGAGGUUUCAGAAAAGAUGACUCCCAUUCUUGUGAUUUCUUUAAUCUGAUGUUGGAUAAGAUAAUUUACUAAAAGAGGGUACAAUUGCUGGCGUAAACGAGGACAGGACGAAGAUUUACCGGCCUGUGUGCGUUGGCGACGGCGAAUACCUCAAACAAUGGAACGAUGAGCUGUAUGAGCCUUAGGUUGCAAACAGAGUGGAAGCGAAGCCGAAGACGAAGAUGAAGACGAAGCCGAAGACGAAUUGCUUGCGUUGCGGGCAAGCUGGCGAGUGUACAUAGUGGAAGAUGAAUGAUAUGAAGAUUUGUUUCUAAAUAAAACCCUUUUUGUUAGAUAAAAUUAAAAGAAAAUAAAGAAAAAACAGCAAUUCAUGAAAUAAUUUGCAUAGGACAACUUUUGGAGAAUUUCGCCACUUGUAUUAUGUGUUACGGCAAGACGGACAGAAAUUUUUCGAAUAUACAAGAAUGCCAAUUAAUACGUGUGAUUACAUUUUACCAAAAAUUUAUCCAAUUUCUUAAAAAACGCGUUUUUUCACAAUUGCAAACAGUUAAAUAAAUUGUAAACAACUCAUCACAGCAAGCGAUUUGUCUUUGUAAACAGUACCGCACUGUUUCAAGCUGACCGCUUGCGCAACAUCUUCAUCUUCGUCUCCGUCUUUGCUUGCACUGUGAUCACUUUCAUAUGUUUACUACCGCACUGUUUUUCGUCUUCGGCUUCGUCUUCAUCUUCGUCUUCGGCUUCGCUUCCACUCUGUUUGCAACCUUAUAGUCCUGCCAGAGAGAGUACGUUACGUACGUCCCGGCUCCAGCGUUCAACUGAAAAAGCGUAGGAAACGCAUAGGUACGCCACAAUGAAAGCGUUGUCGCAUUUAAACAAGUCAGCGGUUUUGUACUGGCGGCAAAUUUUUCUUUGAAUGCAAAAUAAAUCUAUAUUUUUAGUUGUACUAAUAUUUGUGAAGAAGAUAAAAAAAAAUGGAAAUAAUUGAAGUUAUUUUAAUAUUGCUCAUGUUGCUGGAAGCCAGAGAAUGCUUCAACAGGCUUUAUGAAGGCCGUAGAUGGUGGGUGCGACCUCCUCUACAGAAUCGGGACACUCACGGAUUUUUCGCCACGAAUUAUGGAUUUAGGGAGGAAUUUAAGAAAAAUAAUAUUUAUUAAUAAUUUUAUUAAGGAAAGAUUACUAGAAACAAUUCUAAUAGGCCAUCCAUUUCUCCAGAAUGUCGACUUUACUUGACCCUCUGGUAAGUUAUUCAUAUAUCAUGAGUAUGUAUAUUAAAAUAUUGUAAAUUAUAGUUAUUUGGCUCACGGAGGAAGUAAACAGUUUUAUGCUUCUUCCUUUAAAAUGGACUUUCCACAAUGAGGGAAAUAUUGGCAGAAACGUGCGAUGCUUUUUGGGAGGUACUUGGGCCAAUUUAUUUGUCGAUUCCUAAGAAGGAUGAGCGUAUGGAAGCGUAUCGCAAUCGAUUUUAAUUCCAUGUGGAAUUUACCCAAUUGUAUUGGUGCAAUUGAUGGCAAGCACAUAAACAUAUUUUGCCCAUCAAACUCUGGUUCCGCUUUUUAUAAUCCAUUCCAUUUCUGCUGGCGGUGUGUGAUGCAAAUUAUACUUUCACUUGCAUUGAUAUUGGAGCUUACGCCUCGCAAAGUGAUGGUGGCAUUUUAUGGAAUUCUGGCUUUGGGACACAGCUCUGUAGUGGAAAACUGGAUCUUCCUGAAAACGGUGUGCUACCAGACUAUGACUUUUCCCCAUUAUUUUGUUGGAGAUAAUGCGUUCCCGUUAAAGCCAUUUUUAAAGAGGAACCAACUUAUCUCUGGAGAGGCAAAUUUUUAACAAACGUUUAUCUCGAGCACGCUGUGUUAUAGAAAAUGCAUUUGGGAUUUUGGCUUGUCGAUGGAGAAUCCUUUUAAAUCCCUUACAAAUGAGCCCUUCAUCAGCCGAGAAAAUUGUAAAGGCUGCUGUUCUAAUACACAAUUUUCUCAAGAUGCACGAUGGUAGCUAUUCCCCGCCGGAAUAUGUUGACCAGGAGGACGGCGACUCUAUCAGAAGAGGAUUGUGGCGGAGUGAUAUUUCGAUCCCCUUGCAAAGAGCUAGGCGUAUAGGUUCGAACAAUGCUUUACAAAAUGCGUUUAAGUUAACAGCUGAUCUGAAGAGUUACCUUGUAUCCCAUCCAAUUCAAAGGAUGGCACAAUAAAGAAAAAGCCUCAAGAGGGCCAAGAUGAUUUUGCCAAGCGGAGACGCAAAACAUGAUGGCAUGCAAGGACAAAAACAAUACAAAUCAAAGAUUCAAACAGUAUACAAAAUCACCGAAAGUUCACCGAAUUUUCAUUAAAAGUUUAAAUUUUUUAAUAAAAAAUGUCUGGUAUGCAGUUUCAUAGCCCAUACAAUUUGAGUACAAUAAUGUGCAAAUUUGAAGUGGCUAAAGACUAUCGAGUGUUGCGCAUUUCCUCCAUGAACGAAAUGAAAAAACUAAAAAAUCAACGGUAAUCUUUAGCUAAUUGAAACUUGCACUUUAUUAUACUAGAAUGUA
Long non-coding RNA from Rhagoletis pomonella (apple maggot), 2855 nucleotides. RefSeq lists it as uncharacterized. The record is from RefSeq and is a predicted model, not a curated record. The transcript is spliced from 3 exons. Lineage: Eukaryota; Metazoa; Arthropoda; Insecta; Diptera; Tephritidae.